ACCAGCGGCGAUAGCACGUUCAAUGCACCAGUUCCCGAUAGAUAACUGAUGUUAGGCAACGUUGCGCGUGGUUGGUAUCCAGAUGGGUGAUCGUCUAGGCAAUCGCGUCCUGAUGGCU
Molecule: ribosomal RNA, 118 nt
Filed under: Diaphorina citri (Asian citrus psyllid)
Lineage: Eukaryota; Metazoa; Arthropoda; Insecta; Hemiptera; Psyllidae
Source: RNAcentral